GUAAAAUAUAUAUUUUACAGUAAAGACCAAAAGUUUGGACACACCUUCUCAUUCAAAGAGUUUUCUUUAUUUUUAUGACUAUAAAAAUUGUAGAUUCACACUGAAGGCAUCAAGGGCUAUUUGACCAAGAAGGAGAGUGAUGGGGUGCUGCGCCAGAUGACCUGGCCCCCACAGUCACCGGACCUGAACCCAAUCGAGAUGGUUUAGGGGUGAGCUGGACCACAGACAGAAGGCAAAAGGACCAACAAGUGCUAAGCAUCUCUCGGGGAACUCCUUCAAGACUGUUGGAAGACCAUUUCAGGUGACUACCUCUUGAAACUCACCAAGAGAAAGCCAAGAGUGUGCAAAGCAGUAAUCAAAGCAAAAGGUGGCUACUUUGAAGAACCUACAAUAUGACAUAUUUUCAGUUGUUUCACACUUUUUUGUUAUGUAUAUAAUUCCAUAUAUAAUUCCACAUGUGUUAAUUCAUAGUUUUGAUGCCUUCAGUGUGAAUCUACAAUUUUCAUAGUCAUGAAAAUAAAGGAAACUCUUUGAAUGAGAAGGUGUGUCCAAACUUUUGGUCUCAAACUGAUGAGUAGACUGAAGUUGGGCUCAGGUGGUUGUGGUGCGGGAUGUUUCCCAUACAUUUAUUUAUUUUUGGAGACUCGCCACAAUUUUAAAACUGAUCGAUUUUCAAAAAGGCUUCGUUGAAUAAACAUGAGUAACGUUACGUACUGCACGUUUAAUAAUUCCUAACAUUUAUAUGUUUAAAUAUCAAAACGAGGCACAGGUGUUUUUAUAUCGCUGUAUUUCUGAAGGAAGACUUGCAUGUUAUAUGCCUGAUAAAGCAGAGUGUGAGCGUACCAGCUCUGCUUCGUUUACAGCUGUUACUGGGGAAACCUCUAUUUCUCGCACUUUAUGUCUAUGCUUUAAAACAUCUCCUGCUGGCAAAGGAUGAAUUUGCAUUUUCAUUAAGUCCGCCUGAUCCACGCAGCAAACAUAUUUUGUUUGUUAUCAAAAAAUAUCUACUCUAGAGGGACUUGGCUGUUGUUAUUGAUUCUAUUUGGAAGUCUACCGGUUAGGUUAGGUCCACAAAAGCGCGCAUGCGCAGUAACGUUUGUUUAUGUUGUUGCCGUUGAAACCGUCUAUAUAUAUAUGUGUGUGUGUGUGUGUGUGUGUGUGUGUGUGUGUGUAUAAUGUAUGUGUGUGUAAAAUACAUUUCUUUUAAAUGUAUAGCACAGUAAUGAAGGCAGUAACAUGUGACAGAUGGGACAGAACAAGAAUCUAUCAUUGUGCUAAUGUUUUAUAAUACGAAAGGGUAUGGCUCCUAUACAGCGUGCAGCACGUAAACACAACCAGUGCGCAGAAUGAUGCACUUGAAGCAACACAGAGUCACAGCGUGUAGCAUUACUCACAGAAAUGUUCAAAACACCAAAAGAAGAGAUAUUGUUGUGUAUUAUAUGUGUGCAAUAUUUUGAGCCUUUUCUUUUAACAGUUUUAAAUAUCAGUUAUUGUGCGCUCUUGAAGAGAGUUUCAUUGUUUUGACUGUAGUAACUAGGGCUGGAAUGAUACGCUAAUCUGCCAAUUCAAUACUAUCCCGAUACUUGUGUGCCGAUUCAAUAUAUAUUUAUAAUUAUAUAUAUAUAUAUAUAUAUAUAUAUAUAUAUAUAUAUAUAUAUAUAUAUAUAUAUAAUUUAGCAUUGUGAUUAUAGUUAUAUAACUAUUGCAAUUCGUGACUUAUCCAAAUUGUCUGUAAAAUGAUGUUUGUUUCUGUAGAUUUGAGGGAAAGAUUAAAAACAAGGAGGUCUGGGAAUGACUGAAGGGAACUGACAGCAGUGCAGGAAGGAAGUUAUCACCAGAAUCUCAGAGGAUGUUGACAGUGCAGGUCCAGGAUGAAGAAGAGGAGGAAGAACACGUUUAACAAUUUUCUCAUAAGCUUGCCAUGUGUUAUAAUAAAAACAAUGAACAUGACUACAAUAAUAUGCUAAAUGUUAUUAAAAGAUUCCAGUUUGCAAGAAGUCUGAGUGUCUGACUCUACACUAGAGGAACUCUUUUCUGAAGAAGAUCAGGUGCUGAGAAGAAGCCUUGUUCUACAGCAAAACACUGCAUCAAGCCUCCUGUCCUUCCCUCAGAAGAGCCUGUCUUCUGCUGCUGGGGUAAGAAACACCCUCUUCCUCUUCUCUAUCAGCUGUCCAGCACCUAACUCUGCCUCCUCAGCACUGUCUGAAAGAGUCUUCUCCACAGUCAGUAAUCACAGAUCACAGAUUCUUCUGAGAAAGUCGAUAUGCUUAUUUUCUUAAAAGAAUUUGUUUUUUCGGGUGGGUCAAAUAAUACAGGAGAGAUGCUAGAAAUCUCUAUAUUGUUCAUUUUUCAUAUCUUUACGCUUUAUGAAUGUUUUUCUUCUGAGAAGCUCAAAAAUUAUGGUUCUUUGGUAAUUGUUAUAUUGUUUAGGUUUAUCCUCUGAUAGUGAGCACAGAGCCCUGAUCAUGACAUGAAAGAAAAAGAAAGAAAUCAUGUCCAUGAUUUACUAAUUCGUUCCCUCUAUGUACUAAAACGUGCACGAUUACUUUUACAUUUCAUUGAUUUGCUAAAUCGUAUGCACAAUUUACUAAUUCGUUCUCUUGAUGUAUAAAUAGUGUACACGUUUUAGCAAAUCGAGGGAAUGAAAUAGAAAAUCGUGCGCAUGAAUUAGCCUAAAUUUUUUCCUGCAUGUCGUGUAAUUAAAGCACAUCACCAUCAGACAUUUAUACCAGGAGCCUCAUAUAUGACGCUCACAGUUUUACUUUGUGCAGUAUCUCGGUGCAGUAUCUGCUGAAUUGUUUCAUAUCUAUUUAUCAUGUAUUUUUUGUUGCACUAAAUUAUGUUGUAUCAAUAAGUUUACUGAUAAUUAUUUUUAAUUUUCACUAAUAACGUCAUUAACCAUCUCCCCAUCUUUAAGACAAAAAUUUUCUAUUGUUUAUAUUGUGUAAUCUAUGAAUUGAUGUGUUUAGUUUUCUGUGCUCAUAACUUAGUAACAUUUUGCAUGUUUAAAGAACAGGUGCGAUGUUCAAAAUGUUUUGGCUUCGUAUUUGUAGAAAGUAGUGCUGAAUAAAUAUUGAUUUGUGAAUGAA
Molecule: long non-coding RNA, 3089 nt
Organism: Carassius gibelio (silver crucian carp)
Lineage: Eukaryota; Metazoa; Chordata; Actinopteri; Cypriniformes; Cyprinidae
Exons: 2
Source: RefSeq, a predicted model, not a curated record